This 348-nucleotide RNase P RNA is filed under the name Bacillota bacterium. RNAcentral describes it as "RNase P RNA component class B". It matches the Rfam family "Bacterial RNase P class B". Rfam says of the family: Ribonuclease P (RNase P) is a ubiquitous endoribonuclease, found in archaea, bacteria and eukarya as well as chloroplasts and mitochondria. Its best characterised activity is the generation of mature 5'-ends of tRNAs by cleaving the 5'-leader elements of precursor-tRNAs. Cellular RNase Ps are ribonucleoproteins. Lineage: Bacteria; Bacillati; Bacillota. The record is from RNAcentral.
UACGGUGGGUAGUCGCUGCUUGCUGAAAAAUGCAGGUAGAGGAAAGUCGAGACACGUACAGUGUUUAGGCUGUGCCUAAAUACUGUUAAAACGGUGCCCGGCGUAAGCCGGGGCAGGGUGACCUGACGACGGUGAAAAGAGCCUUCCGGGUUCUUAGUAGCCAUAAAGUGCCACAGAAACUAGGUCUUCUGGCAACAGAAGAGUGGAACCGGUAAACUCCACCAACGUGCAACCCAAAUAGGCGGCCUUGAGCCGCGGGUAGGGGCACCCCGAAAAGGGGGAGAAAACUAUAUUUUUUAUGGUUUUCUCAGAUAGAUGGCUACCUUCAACAGAAUCUCGCUUACAGCU